UACGUAGGGGGCAAGCGUUGUCCGGAAUCAUUGGGCGUAAAGCGCGCGUAGGCGGCCCGGUAAGUCCGCUGUAAAAGUCCAGGGCUCAACCCUGGAAAGCCGGUGGAUACUGUCGGGCUAGAGUCCGGAAGAGGCGAGUGGAAUUCCUGGUGUAGCGGUGGAAUGCGCAGAUAUCAGGAGGAACACCGGUGGUGUAGACGGCUCUCUGGACCGUAACUGACGCUGAGACACGAAAGCGUGGGUAGCAAACAGG
This 253-nucleotide ribosomal RNA is filed under the name uncultured bacterium. RNAcentral's name for it is "partial 16S ribosomal RNA". It matches the Rfam family "Bacterial small subunit ribosomal RNA", at positions 524 to 776 of the family's 1533-position model. The record is from RNAcentral.